RNAcentral lists this ribosomal RNA (440 nucleotides) under uncultured bacterium. Its description in RNAcentral is "partial 16S ribosomal RNA". It matches the Rfam family "Bacterial small subunit ribosomal RNA", at positions 338 to 795 of the family's 1533-position model. The record is from RNAcentral.
CCUACGUGGUGCAGCAGUGGGGAAUAUUGCACAAUGGGGGAAACCCUGAUGCAGCGACGCCGCGUGAGUGAAGAAGUAUCUCGGUACGUAAAGCUCUAUCAGCAGGGAAGAAAAUGACGGUACCUGACUAAGACGCCCCGGCUAACUACGUUCCAGCAGCCGCGGUAAUACGUAGGGGGCAAGCGUUAUCCGGAUUUACUGGGUGUAAAGGGAGCGUAGACGGCAGCACAAGUCUGGAGUGAAAUCCCGGGGCUUAACCCCGGACCUGCUUUGGAAACUGGGCGGCUGGAGUGCAGGAGGGGUAAGCGGAAUUCCUAGUGUAGCGGUGAAAUGCGUAGAUAUUAGGAGGAACACCGGUGGCGAAGGCGGCUUACUGGACUGUAACUGACGUUGAGGCUCGAAAGCGUGGGGAGCAAACAGGAUUAGAUACCCGAGUAGUC